RNAcentral lists this long non-coding RNA (343 nucleotides) under Rattus norvegicus (Norway rat). RNAcentral's name for it is "long non-coding RNA NONRATT033825". Lineage: Eukaryota; Metazoa; Chordata; Mammalia; Rodentia; Muridae. The record is from RNAcentral.
GUGUGCUCCUACCUAGGAAGAGCUGAGCCCCGGGGUUGUGAAGAGAGAUAGCAUUUCUGACCAAAAACCACAAGCACAUCAAGUCAGAGAAACCAAGGAACAAUGGAAUGAUGUUGCUACGACAGGACAAAAGGCCCAGUGUUACAUUUUCCCAGCAGCCUGUGGAUUGAAGAUAUCACCAACUGAUCCUUUCAAGGGUUACUAUGGGAAAGUUUGGCGAGCCUCUGACAUCCAUGGAACUGGUUUAUCUGUGCAGCAAGUGGUACCAGUGCCUUGCCCUUUGAUACUCACUGUUACCACGUAUCUUCUUACCAUAUUACCCUACAGUCCCUUCAGCCAAUAA